AAGAAUAAUGAACCUGGCAUCUAAAGAUAUGAAUUUUUUUCUCAGCAGUACUACAUAUUAGCUCUACAGAAGAAUUAAAAUGUACAUGACAGGACACUAGGAAAAACAUUCUUGGCAGAUAUUAAGAAGACUCCCAAUCUCUGAAGAGUGAAAAAUGGUAGAUAAUCUUACCACUUGUCUUGUUCAGAAUCAAGGAAUUCCUUCCCAAUUCUCAGAUGAAGCAGUUCUUCUAUCGAUGUGGUGAAUGUGAACCUCUGCCAAAUAAUCCCAUUUAGAGGCACGCCUCAAUGCAAGGAGAAGCAGAUGCUGAAACAUGCAGCAAAAGCCAAGCUCUGUCACCUCUUCAUGACUUUAUACAUCGUCAGUCCCCCUAUUGCUUUCCCUAAAUUUCCUAAUAGUGAAGAAGAUGCAUCAUUGAUAUCAUCGUACAGGCAUGGACAUAGAAAAGGCAGAAGGACUGUCUAAGAUAGCAUGGAGCAUUUCUGUCAACUUAUUUUGAGUUAUUUAUUCUUCUUUCCCUCAUUCUUAGAAUUAAAGAGAUAACCAGAAUCAAGAAUACAAUUAAUGCUUACAAAAUUUGAUGAAUGAGGCAAUAUUAUCCCCAUCAUCUCCACAAAGAAAAUUCCUCCUUUAAAUUAUUGACUUAGAUUUAGAUAGAAUAUUCAUAUUGAAGAAAUUAAAACUUUCUAAAGGUAUUUCUAGCACAAAAGGAGGAAAACUGAGUCACUGGAAUGUUCAUUAUAUUCAUGUCCAUUCAAAAUUAAUAUUCCUUCAAAGCUGAGCUUAAGUUCCUACAACUAAAUGG
Long non-coding RNA from Antechinus flavipes (yellow-footed antechinus), 805 nucleotides. RefSeq lists it as uncharacterized. The transcript is spliced from 3 exons. The record is from RefSeq and is a predicted model, not a curated record. NCBI's taxonomy places the organism in Eukaryota, Metazoa, Chordata, Mammalia, Dasyuromorphia, Dasyuridae.